This 380-nucleotide ribosomal RNA is filed under the name Percnobracon witru. RNAcentral describes it as "partial 16S ribosomal RNA". The record is from RNAcentral. Lineage: Eukaryota; Metazoa; Arthropoda; Insecta; Hymenoptera; Braconidae.
UUAUGCUGUUAUCCCUAAAGUAAUUAAUUUUAUUAUAUUUAAUAUUAAAGAUUAUUUAUUCAAUAAUAGUUGUAUUUUAAUUAAAAAAUUUUUUAAAUUUUUAAAUUACCCCAAUAAAAUUAAUUAAUAUAUAAAUAUUUAAUAUUUAAUAAAAGUUAUAUUUAAAUUAAUAAAAUUUUAUAGGGUCUUAUCGUCUUUUAAAUUUAUUUAAGUUUUUUUACUUAAAUAAAAAUUUUAAUUUAUUUAAUUUAUAUAGUAUAUAUUUCAUUAAAUCUUUUAUUCUAGUUUUUAAUUAAAAAACAAAUUAUUAUGCUACCUUUGUACAGUUAUUUAUACUGCAGCCAUUAAAAAAAUAUUCAUUGGGCAGAUUGGACUUAAAA